AGCAUUGCGCAGUGGCAGUAUCGUAGUAUUGCUAGUUGAGAACUUUACCCAAUACCGCGCCUUGACGGCUUGAAGUACAGCCGGCUACGGCAAUUUUAUGACUUUAUCUACGGAGACCAAUUUAUAUGUUAAAAUAA
This 137-nucleotide small nuclear RNA is filed under the name Gouania willdenowi (blunt-snouted clingfish). RNAcentral's name for it is "U4 spliceosomal RNA (ENSGWIG00000012239.1)". The stretch from base 1 to 116 matches the Rfam family "U4 spliceosomal RNA". From Rfam's summary of the family: U4 small nuclear RNA (U4 snRNA) is a component of the major U2-dependent spliceosome. The structure of U4 snRNA from yeast and human has been reported. Lineage: Eukaryota; Metazoa; Chordata; Actinopteri; Blenniiformes; Gobiesocidae. The record is from RNAcentral.